GGGCUGUAGCUCAGCAGCAGAGUGCCUGCUUGGCAUGCAGAAUGUCCCAGGUUCACUCCCUGGCGUGAUCCU
Podarcis lilfordi (Lilford's wall lizard) is the source of this 72-nucleotide non-coding RNA. The record is from the annotation of a GenBank genome assembly. NCBI's taxonomy places the organism in Eukaryota, Metazoa, Chordata, Lepidosauria, Squamata, Lacertidae.